Molecule: ribosomal RNA, 581 nt
Filed under: Staphylococcus xylosus
Lineage: Bacteria; Bacillati; Bacillota; Bacilli; Caryophanales; Staphylococcaceae
Description: bacterial SSU rRNA
Rfam family: Bacterial small subunit ribosomal RNA
Source: RNAcentral
UAACUCAAUAGAAUUGACGGGGACCCGCACAAGCGGUGGAGCAUGUGGUUUAAUUCGAAGCAACGCGAAGAACCUUACCAAAUCUUGACAUCCUUUGAAAACUCUAGAGAUAGAGCCUUCCCCUUCGGGGGACAAAGUGACAGGUGGUGCAUGGUUGUCGUCAGCUCGUGUCGUGAGAUGUUGGGUUAAGUCCCGCAACGAGCGCAACCCUUAAGCUUAGUUGCCAUCAUUAAGUUGGGCACUCUAGGUUGACUGCCGGCGACAACCCGGAGGAAGGUGGGGAUGACGUCAAAUCAUCAUGCCCCUUAUGAUCUGGGCUACACACGUGCUACAAUGGACAAUACAAAGGGCAGCUAAACCGCGAGGUCAUGCAAAUCCCAUAAAGUUGUUCUCAGUUCGGAUUGUAGUCUGCAACUCGACUACAUGAAGCUGGAAUCGCUAGUAAUCGUAGAUCAGCAUGCUACGGUGAAUACGUUCCCGGGUCUUGUACACACCGCCCGUCACACCACGAGAGUUUGUAACACCCGAAGCCGGUGGAGUAACCAUUUAGGAGCUAGCCGUCGAAGGUGGACAAAAGGGGG